GAUGAACGCUGGCGGCGUGCCUAAUACAUGCAAGUCGAGCGAACGGACGAGAAGCUUGCUUCCCUGAUGUUAGCGGCGGACGGGUGAGUAACACGUGGAUAACCUACCUAUAAGACUGGGAUAACUUCGGGAAACCGGAUCUACUGCCGGAUAAUAUUUUGAACCGCAUGGUUCAAAAGUUAAAGACGGUCUUUCUGUCACUUAUAGAUGGCUCCGCCCUGCAUUAGCUAGUUGGUAAGGUAACGGCUUACCAAGGCAACGAUGCAUAGCCGACCUGAGAGGGUGAUCGACCACACUGGAACGGAGACGCGGUCCAGACUCCGACGGGAGGCAGCAGUAGGGAAUCUUCCGCAAUGGGCGAAAGCCUGACGGAGCAACGCCGCGUGAGUGAUGAAGAUCUUCGGAUCGUAAAACACUGUUAUUAGGGAAGAACAUAUGUGUAAGUAACUGUGCACAUCUUGAAGGUACCGAAUCAGAAAGCCACGGCUAACUACGU
RNAcentral lists this ribosomal RNA (496 nucleotides) under uncultured bacterium. Its description in RNAcentral is "partial 16S ribosomal RNA". It matches the Rfam family "Bacterial small subunit ribosomal RNA", at positions 28 to 506 of the family's 1533-position model. The record is from RNAcentral.